Long non-coding RNA from Ictalurus punctatus (channel catfish), 2984 nucleotides. Lineage: Eukaryota; Metazoa; Chordata; Actinopteri; Siluriformes; Ictaluridae. The record is from Ensembl.
AUACAGUGCACAUAUCUCAUACACAUAUUUAUGACCAAUAAAUAUAUUAUACUUUUAUAUACCUAUGAUAGUUUUUCUGUUAUAACAUAGUGUAAAUACCAUUCAUAUUGUUAUCUACUCAAUGGCUAUUGCGCAUAUUCACAGCCCAUAGCCUUGUUAUUUAUUUGCUAUCUAUAUUACAUAUUCAAUCAGCACUUUGUUAAUUUGCACAACACUAUUAUUUGCACUUCUGGUAGAGGUGAAACUGCAUUUGGUUGCUGAGUACCUCGUAUCUCCAAUGACAACAAAGUACACUCGGAAUGAGGGGCCAGUUCAUCCCAGAGCACCAUGUACACACACACACAGUCACCAAUCCACCUAUCAGCAGGUUUUUUGGCAGCCAUGAGGAAAUCAGAGAACCCAGAAGAAACCAAAGCAGAUGCUGAGAGAAUAUAGAAAACUCCACAUAGACACUGAGCUCAGGAUUGAAGCAGUGACCCUGGAGCUGUGAGGCAGCAACGUUACCUUACAAAUUCUUACAAACAAGAAGAAAAAUUAUUUUAGAGAAAUACAAGUGCAAGAGAAACACUAACUCUGCACUAACCUUUGUAAUAUUUCAUAGUCAUGUCAGGUAAAUUUCAAUGAAUUUGCAGCUGUGGUUUUACAUAAGAUGAGUGGAUAUUACUCAGAUGAAUACAAAUGCCAUCUACUGAUUUUGAAUUUGUGCCAUUGGGUGCAAGAAUAUAUUUUUAUGGAGUGUGGAAUUGCUUUGGCAAAUCUGUUGAAAAGCUUUACAGCUUAAUAAAAGAGCGAAGUCACCUUGCUAUUCAACCAUUAAAAACCCAAAAGAGCAUUAUUACUCUGAAUUUAGUUGAGUCCUGUGAUGGGCAUUUGACAUUUUCAGAGCAACUGGUGGGUGUGUUGGUGGUUAAAUAUAAACAGCAAGUUUGUGGCAUUGAUUAUUUGAGACAAUCUUUGGAGUGGAGAAAUAAGAGCCUGCCAAAAAGAUAAAUGAUCUCAGGGUUGGUUUCAUCACGGCAAAGGCCAACGCUCCCUUCUACCACCAUUUGUGCUUCUAGUAGUAUUAAAGUUUAAAAGUAAGUUGUACAAAUGACCUGCUGGAGCUUCUAUCUCCCAAAUGGCAAGUCGAAAAGGAACAACUCUGAUAUAUCACAGCUUGGAGUUAGAGAGAAACUUGAUUCGCCAGGCUGUUACACUAGAUUUAUUAGUUGCUGUAUUUCUCUAGCGUCAACUGAUGUUCCAUAAGCCUGAGCCUCCGGGGUUUCGGGUGGCCUCUCCCCCCCCCGGCAGCUGAUGGAAAAGUGUUUGGAUGCCGGUCUAUUCAUGUGAGGGUGUUAAACACAACAGAUUAAGACGCUCUGCAAACCUCCAAAGCUAGCAUUAGGCCACUUAUCAUAUUAGUUUGGCUAUACUAAUCCAUCUGAUAUGGUGUGUCUGCUUCCACUCCCAUGCUCCACCUUCGACAUGGUAACAACUCUGUAACACGAGCGGCAUCAAAGCACGUAAACGUGGAGAACUUCAGCAUCCUGGAUUCCUGCGCUAAACCCGGUUUUGGCUUCCACUUUGUGCUGGGACGGGGGAACCUAAAUCUGCACAUGCCUUGGCAUUUCACACAGCAGCAAGCUUAAACACUUGUUCAGCACUGCUUGUUGUAGUGUGUGUGAGGUAAACAGGUGUAAGUCUGAAGGAGUUUCGAGUCAGUUCAUGUAGUGAAAGGUCAAAUGACUGAUUUCUGUUAAAGGUGCCUGGUCUUAAGCUUCAUGAUGCCAUGUGGAAGUGAAAUAUGACUGAGGAUGGCUUAAUGAUUGGUUAACAGUGAUAUGAAUACACUUUGGGAUGUUACUAAAGAUACUGAAGUAUCAAUAUCCACAUAUGUUUAGUCAGAUAUUCUGUAUCGGCAUAGUGGUCAUAGUUGGAGGAUGACACUGCUCACUGAGCUUUGCCUACUAUAUCACAUUGCAAACAACGUGUCACACUUAACCUUUAUUGAUUUAUAUCAGUAAAUGUUGCUUAAACUACCAUCAAAUCCUUGCAAAGCACUUCCAUAUAAAACCUCUAACCUACUCUCCUGUUAAACAGCGCAAGGCUGAUUACACCUUUACACCUUACUUAACCUAAGUUGUUUUUUUUUAACUACCUUUUAUAUUGCAGCCACCAUCUAGAUCAUUUACUUCAUUUUCAUAGCAGCGGUACAAAUAAUUACAGGCACCUAGAAUCAGCUGAAUGUCAUACCUGAAGCAAGCACAUGCUUCCUGAUAUUACGAUACAAGAAAGAAGCUGAAGGGGGAAAUGUGAUGGAGAAGGAAAAAUCAGUCGGGUUUGUUCCCUGGCCAUAUGAGAAAAAGUUAAUGGUGAAGAGUGAACACAAGGUGGACCAUCUAUACGAUCCAUGCUGCAUCUUGCCAGGAAGCAUUGAUGUUAGGACACUCUCUCUCUCUCUCUCUCUCUCUCUCUCUCUCUCUCUCUCUCUCUCUCUCUCUCUCUCUCUCUGUACCUAUGUGUGUGUGUGUCACUAGAUCACUACACUCUGUUCCCUUGUGUAUGUCACAUGUGGGAUUUCUUUGAGAUUGAACAAAGUGGUUAACAUUGUACACUGCCAUUCAUAAAGUAUUCUUAGAGUGAUUUUUGGCCAAGUGCUGUCUUCUAGCAGCAAACUCUAAAAAUCUGGCAGAGAAUUACUGUAACAUAUAACAUUGUACAGACAACUUAAAGUAUAAAUACAGCACAAGUGAAAAAACAGUAGUGUUUACCAUCAACAAAGGAAAAGUAGAAAUUGUAGACCUGUGGAAAAACUGCAUACAUUUCAAAUGUGAUUAAUAUGUGAUCGCCAUUAAAACAUUUGAUUGUUUUCAAUACAUUUCAAUGUGUUAUGCUCUGAAAUAGCACAUGCGAGCUCAAGUAAACACAUACGACAUAAUGUGAAUAGUGUAUCAUGUGUAGAGUCAUUUAUUUAUCAUUUUGCACACAUACACUGAGUAUACUAG